AAACUCGCUUAAACAACGAUUAUAAACGUCGGAGAUGAAUUACGCUCUCUUUGAAUAAGCCAAGGUGUUGAUAUAUAAAAGGACUGAGAGACGACUGUUGCACAGUGCACAUGCACAAUGUUUUAUUCUACUUAAUCUUCGUUUCUAGAAAUUUAAUCGACAAAAUGGACCUAAUAACAACAACUUUUGCCACGUUGACUCUUUAUCUCAUACUCGCCCCCGAUAGAAUUUUCACUGCUGCUGACGAAACCACCAAGUCUGAAGAACCGACGAAAUGUGGCAAAAAUGAAGAGUACACGACGUGCAAUCUUUGUCCAAAAAAUUGCGAAAAUCCCUUUCAAGAAAUUUGCUCGCCAGGGCCUUGCAUAAAGACUUGUAAAUGUAAAUCGGGAUACUACAAGGACAGUGGGGGCGUGUGCGUGUCUAUCAUAGCUUGCAUCGUCGAUAAUAUCAGAAAUCGAAGUGAGUAAUCAUCGAUAUACGCAGAAUAUACAGAAAUGUGUCAAAUGUCCAAGAUACGAUUCUCGUUAUAUUUGUUCUACAGGUAACAGAGCGAAGCGAUCCUUCCUCGACAAAUACGUCAUAGCCAAGGUGCUAAAAUUGAACAGGUGUUUAUCCAUGUUUGGAAGGAGGAAGUUUAAAGAGAAUAAGUAAAACGAGAAUUACGCGUAUUGUGUACGAUAUUCGGGAAGAAAAAUAAAUAUUUAUCUGCUGUUA
Bombus terrestris (buff-tailed bumblebee) is the source of this 717-nucleotide RNA transcript. RefSeq lists it as uncharacterized. NCBI's taxonomy places the organism in Eukaryota, Metazoa, Arthropoda, Insecta, Hymenoptera, Apidae. The record is from RefSeq and is a predicted model, not a curated record. The transcript has 5 exons.